RNAcentral lists this ribosomal RNA (167 nucleotides) under uncultured bacterium. RNAcentral describes it as "partial 16S ribosomal RNA". It matches the Rfam family "Bacterial small subunit ribosomal RNA", at positions 352 to 511 of the family's 1533-position model. The record is from RNAcentral.
CAGUAGGGAAUCUUCCACAACGGACGAAAGUCUGAUGGAGCAACGCCGCGUGAGUGAAGAAGGGUUUCGGCUCGUAAGACUCUGUUGUUAAAGAAGAACAUAUCUGAGAGUAACUGUUCAGGUAUUGACGGUAUUUAACCAGAAAGCCACGGCUAACUACGUGCUAG